GAUGAAGGACGUAGCGAAAUGCGAUAAGUAAUGUGAAUUGCAGAAUUCAGUGAAUCAUCGAAUCUUUGAACGCACAUUGCGCCCGGCAGUACUCUGCCGGGCAUGCCUGUUCGAGCGUCAUUUCAACCCUCAAGCCCUGCUUGGUGUUGGGGUCCCACGGCCGCCGUGGGCCCUGAAAGGAAGUGGCGGGCUCGCUACAACUCCGAGCGUAGUAAUUCAUUAUCUCGCUUAGGGCGUUGGGCGGCGCUCCUGCCGUUAAAGAACCAUCUUUAACUCAAGGUUGACCCCGGAUCAGGUAGGAAUACCCGCUGAACUUAAGCAUAUCAAUAAGCGGAGGA
RNAcentral lists this unclassified non-coding RNA (338 nucleotides) under soil metagenome. RNAcentral's name for it is "partial contains 5.8S ribosomal RNA, internal transcribed spacer 2, and large subunit ribosomal RNA". The stretch from base 1 to 120 matches the Rfam family "5.8S ribosomal RNA", at positions 35 to 154 of the family's 154-position model. The record is from RNAcentral.